RNAcentral lists this small nuclear RNA (174 nucleotides) under Marmota monax (woodchuck). It matches the Rfam family "U2 spliceosomal RNA". From Rfam's summary of the family: U2 is a small nuclear RNA (snRNA) component of the spliceosome (involved in pre-mRNA splicing). Complementary binding between U2 snRNA (in an area lying towards the 5' end but 3' to hairpin I) and the branchpoint sequence (BPS) of the intron results the bulging out of an unpaired adenosine, on the BPS, which initiates a nucleophilic attack at the intronic 5' splice site, thus starting the first of two transesterification reactions that mediate splicing. The record is from RNAcentral. Lineage: Eukaryota; Metazoa; Chordata; Mammalia; Rodentia; Sciuridae.
AUCGCUUCUCGGCCUUUUGGCUAAGAUCAAGUGUAGUAUCUGAUCUCCCCUUCUUUCUUUUUUUAAAAUUUUUUAAUUUGUUCUUUUUAGUUAUAUACGACAAUAAAAUGUAUUUUGACAUAUAAACAUAUGGGGAAUAUCACUUCCCAUUUUUGUGGUUGUGCAUGAUGCAGA